This 239-nucleotide ribosomal RNA is filed under the name uncultured bacterium. Its description in RNAcentral is "partial 16S ribosomal RNA". It matches the Rfam family "Bacterial small subunit ribosomal RNA", at positions 15 to 237 of the family's 1533-position model. The record is from RNAcentral.
GAUCAUGGCUCAGGAUGAACGCUAGCUACAGGCUUAACACAUGCAAGUCGAGGGGAAACGAUAUUGGAAGCUUGCUUCCGAUAGGCGUCGACCGGCGCACGGGUGAGUAACGCGUAUCCAACCUGCCCACCACUUGGGGAUAACCUUGCGAAAGUAAGACUAAUACCCAAUGAUAUCUCAGAAGACAUCUGAAAGAGAUUAAAAGAUUUCAGUCGGUGAGUGGAGGUGGGGAUCGCGUU